AAUUACAGAAAAAAACACGUUUGAACUAAAACUUUCAAUUCACCACGAAUUAGGGUUUCACCAAAGAAAAAAGGGAAUACAAUUUCUAACCCCAAUUUUGCUGCUUUCAAAUUCAGCAUGAGUCUCACUCAAUUCUCAAUGGUUGAAGAAUUGGCAUUUCUUGUAAAGGACAAUCUUCCAUGUAAGCAUCUUGUUCUUUCUAUGGAAGAUAUGUUUGUCGAUUUCCUUAACGAUCCAUCGAGCCUAGAAGAUGUGCUGGAACUGGAGCCAAUGAAUCCCUACAAUCGUCUUCUUGUACACCGCCUUGCUGACAUAUUUGGAUUUUCUCAUCAUUCUAUUGGUGAAGGAGAUGAGCGGCAUCUCGUGCUAAAACGUUGCGAGGACACAUCAGUACCCUCCAUUCUCGUUGCGGAUAUGUUAUGGGAGCAUGUCGACUACCAGUCUCCAAUAACUUCACAGAUUUUAUCACGAAGAGAAGAUGUAUCCGCUGGGACGAAGAUAGAAACAUUAUCUGCUCAACUCUCUUUAAAGGACAGAGAGGAAGCUUACAUGGCAGCUCGAAAACGGAUUUUUUCAACAGAUGAUGACAUGGAAUUGCCUGCAAAAGAGCGUCCUCGAAAUAAUCCAGUAGUUGCUCGUCGCAUGAUUGCCCAUGCACUUGGCCAAAAAAUCAAACAAUCUAAUCUAGAUAUAGGUGUCACAGAUGCCAUGGUGUGCCAGGAACCUGCGAAUGAAGCAAAAGGUCAAAAUAUUAGUUCAAGCUUGAAAACUCAUGCAAAGUCAAAUAGUCAACAACAUAUCAGUGGAAACGAGGCUAACAAGACAUAUUCUAAUAAGAAGAUGCUUCCAAACCUAGGUGUUGAAGCAUCAAGCACUGCAAAUGCUCCUAAGUGUAAUCUUAAAGAGGAACAUAUUGUAGCUGCAAAGCGUAUGUUCGCUAACGCCUUAAGAAUGCAUCCAGGAAAAGAAAUUGUUCUUUCAAAAUGUGGUCAAACGAAGCAAAUGGACAAGUCUUAGGGGUAGUUUGUUUUUACAUGACGAGAACUUGAGGCUGAAAUCUGAAUCUGAAAAUUGAUUAUGAAUGCUCUGUGUGAAUCUUUUGUGGCCCUCACAUUUCUAUUUCAACAAGCAAAAUACAGAUGGAAUUUUUCGUUGUUUCAACCAUUUCUGUUCUUAGAAGAUGCAUUACCUGAAUAGAACCACAGUUUGACUGCGGUACGUCUCUUCAUUAAUAGUAAGUUUCCAUGAGAAGAAGCUGAAGUUGUGGGGUUCAUCUCUGGGUGUUCUGUAGGUGUGGGUUGGAAGUUUUUCAAUGGUCAUGUCUCAUCUGUGGUGCCUCUGGAUCGUAGAAUGCUCACUUGCUCAGGUUAUGAAGUAUGCGUGCUUGAUUUCCAAUGGAACUAUACUGCUAUUGGGCACUUAUACCAGAAAGUUAUGUCAGAUCUGUAUCAACAAGUUUCACCAUUUUCAUCCCCGAACAUUCAGGAAUUACCACUGCAGGGUCAUGUGUAAUUAUGUUGCAGGUAAGUAAAAACAAAAUUGCAAGUCUGCUUCUUCGUUGUUUCUCAAUCCAUUUAGGUAUGCACUAAAACAUGAUCCUGGAUCGUACUCAUACAUUAUGUACAAUAAAGAUGUCUGUAGACCAAAAAAACUUUUAUUCUUAGUGAGCACCCAGGAGAUAUUUCUGUAAAGCAUACUUGGAAACAGAAGAACAUUGGAACAAUAGUCUUGAUUUCUGCUAGAAGUAUGUUCAAACGUCAUAGACCAGUAUUUCAGAGGGGAAGCACCUGCACAUCAAGCGUUUUCGCCUGCUGUGUUGCUGUGAACGACUUCAUCUCCCUUUUGGCCCUCUGUUUAGGAUUAAAGAAGAGGUUAAGGGGUCUUUUUCAAACAAGAGAAAAGGAGAGGUUAAGUGGUCAUCUGGUUCCGAAUAUGGAUUAGAUGUAGCAGUAUGGGUUGGUCAUGGUUGGCUAAUGUGUUAAAAUUUAUUCAUGUUGUGCAGAAAGAAUUUUUGUUCAAAUACUUGAUUAUAUUUUACUUUAUAUAUUAUCAAUAAUUGGUCCAUCAAA
Molecule: RNA transcript, 2069 nt
Organism: Erigeron canadensis
Lineage: Eukaryota; Viridiplantae; Streptophyta; Magnoliopsida; Asterales; Asteraceae
Exons: 7
Source: RefSeq, a predicted model, not a curated record